RNAcentral lists this ribosomal RNA (233 nucleotides) under uncultured bacterium. RNAcentral's name for it is "partial 16S ribosomal RNA". It matches the Rfam family "Bacterial small subunit ribosomal RNA", at positions 103 to 334 of the family's 1533-position model. The record is from RNAcentral.
CGGGUGAGUAACGCGUGAGGAACCUGCCUCAAAGAGGGGGACAACAGUUGGAAACGACUGCUAAUACCGCAUAAGCCCACGGCUCGGCAUCGAGCAGAGGAAAAAGGAGCAAUCCGCCUUGAGAUGGCCUCGCGUCCGAUUAGCUAGUUGGUGAGGUAACGGCCCACCAAGGCGACGAUCGGUAGCCGGACUGAGAGGUUGAACGGCCACAUUGGGACUGAGACACGGCCCAG